UAGGGAAUCUUCGGCAAUGGGGGCAACCCUGACCGAGCAACGCCGCGUGAGUGAAGAAGGUUUUCGGAUCGUAAAGCUCUGUUGUAAGAGAAGAACGUGUGUGAGAGUGGAAAGUUCACACAGUGACGGUAACUUACCAGAAAGGGACGGCUAACUACGUGCCAGCAGCCGCGGUAAUACGUAGGUCCCGAGCGUUGUCCGGAUUUAUUGGGCGUAAAGCGAGCGCAGGCGGUUUAAUAAGUCUGAAGUUAAAGGCAGUGGCUUAACCAUUGUUCGCUGUGGAAACUGUUAAACUUGAGUGCAGAAGGGGAGAGUGGAAUUCCAUGUGUAGCGGUGAAAUGCGUAGAUAUAUGGAGGAACACCGGUGGCGAAAGCGGCUCUCUGGUCUGUAACUGACGCUGAGGCUCGAAAGCGUGGGGAGCAAACAGG
This 429-nucleotide ribosomal RNA is filed under the name bacterium. Its description in RNAcentral is "partial 16S ribosomal RNA". It matches the Rfam family "Bacterial small subunit ribosomal RNA", at positions 355 to 776 of the family's 1533-position model. The record is from RNAcentral.